UAAGACCUCUCCUGGGUUUUACAAGAACAGAGGUUCGGGAAUAUUGCGACCUCUUAGGAUUACCUCUGUGGCCCGAUCCGAGCAACAUGUCGCUCGAGAUCGACCGCAACCGCAUCCGUCACCAGCUCCUCCCCUACCUGCGAGAGAAUUUUAACGACUCAGUGGACAAGUCCCUAGCGCGGUGUGCGGAAAUCCUCCAUGCUGAACAACAGUAUCUCGACAGCAUUUGCAAUAACAUCUUGAAGAAGGCGGAGACUGAGGACGCUGAUGGGAGAAAACUCGACAUUAUGAUCAUGCAAUCCCUGCCUGUUGCAUUGCAACGUCGAGUGCUCAAACAAUUUGUUGAGAAUUUUACUGGCAGGAGUUUAGGGUUCGACCAUGUGGAGCGCUUGCGAACUGCUUAUUCCCUCUCAGGUGACUCCCGCAGUGCAUCCAAUGGCGUUAGCCUCGCAUUGCCAGGAAAUGCCUCGGUGAAGUUACUGAAAUCCUACUUCCAUUUGACCCGAACAAAGCAAAUUUAACUACUCUCACAUCACGACCAUCACAUGCUUCUGCUACAACAAAUCACUUGAGUACCAAGUGCGCUAUUACUUCACUCCGAACUCGACUCUCUUUCUGUCACUGAUUUCUGUAUUCUUGCAUUUUAUUGUUCCCUUAUCGCAUUUUUCUCCUCUGUGAUUGCCCGCACUUAAAUUGCUGGCGUAGGUAUUUUGACAAUGACACGAUGCGAGUAAAGUGGGUGCCAAAGACAAACAUUUGAUGGUGCCACUACAGGAUGAAAGUGUGAUAAGCAGCCUCCAGAAAAUUAACGACCUUAGUCAUCGGCCGAGUACGUACCCUUGCGAAGGAGCUUGUCACAUCUUAGAGAAUGUGCAUACAGAAGAGUGAGGAUCCUGAUACAUACCAAAAGCUUUUACGUACUACUACUGAUACCAAUUUUUAUUUUAUCAAUUUAAGAUAAGAAAUUCAAACAAUUUGCGACCGUCAUGCAUUGGAGCAGAUGUCUUCUCACCAAAAGCUCCUCUCAGUUUUCUUUUAAAAAUACGUCGAAUAUUUCACAUGAAACAGUACAGGAGUAGCGAGUGAGUAACCCCUCGUUAAAGUCUGCACUACAAAGUUCGGAAAUUGUCUGAAUUGCUUGCGUAGCUUAAUUGUCGCCAGGGACAUUGAACAUGAAUUUCUCGCUACGAAGCAAAGAAUUCCUACAGCUUCUCUAUUUGAAAGAGUUCCACGGCGCAUCCUGUAAUGUCCGAAUCGGUUCGCUCACGGAACCCGUCAAAUUGUAUGUGCAACAGUCCUACCUCUUGAGGUUUACAGUGCUGCCCCC
RNAcentral lists this long non-coding RNA (1327 nucleotides) under Physcomitrium patens. Its description in RNAcentral is "long non-coding RNA (PPAT_LNC013667)". The record is from RNAcentral. Lineage: Eukaryota; Viridiplantae; Streptophyta; Bryopsida; Funariales; Funariaceae.